CAGUAGCCACGGUAAUGCGUAGGUGGCAAGCGUUGUCCGGAAUUAUUGGGCGUAAAGGGCUCGCAGGCGGUUUCUUAAGUCUGAUGUGAAAGCCCCCGGCUCAACCGGGGAGGGUCAUUGGAAACUGGGAAACUUGAGUGCAGAAGAGGAGAGUGGAAUUCCACGUGUAGCGGUGAAAUGCGUAGAGAUGUGGAGGAACACCAGUGGCGAAGGCGACUCUCUGGUCUGUAACUGACGCUGAGGAGCGAAAGCGUGGGGAGCGAACAGGAUUAGAUACCCGUGUAGUCCCUGUCUCUUAUAU
RNAcentral lists this ribosomal RNA (301 nucleotides) under uncultured bacterium. RNAcentral describes it as "partial 16S ribosomal RNA". It matches the Rfam family "Bacterial small subunit ribosomal RNA", at positions 509 to 809 of the family's 1533-position model. The record is from RNAcentral.